CAGCAGCCGCGGGAAUACGUAGGGUGCAAGCGUUAAUCGGAAUUACUGGGCGUAAAGCGUGCGUAGGCGGUUUGUUAAGUCUGUUGUGAAAUCCCCGGGCUCAACCUGGGAAUGGCAAUGGAUACUGGCAAGCUAGAGUGUGUCAGAGGAUGGUGGAAUUCCCGGUGUAGCGGUGAAAUGCGUAGAGAUCGGGAGGAACAUCAGUGGCGAAGGCGGCCAUCUGGGACAACACUGACGCUGAGGCACGAAAGCGUGGGGAGCAAACAGGAUUAGAUACCCCCGUAGUCCCUGUCUCUUAUAC
This 301-nucleotide ribosomal RNA is filed under the name uncultured bacterium. RNAcentral's name for it is "partial 16S ribosomal RNA". It matches the Rfam family "Bacterial small subunit ribosomal RNA", at positions 509 to 807 of the family's 1533-position model. The record is from RNAcentral.